This 235-nucleotide long non-coding RNA is filed under the name Brassica napus (rape). RNAcentral's name for it is "long non-coding RNA (BNAP_LNC023627)". The record is from RNAcentral. Lineage: Eukaryota; Viridiplantae; Streptophyta; Magnoliopsida; Brassicales; Brassicaceae.
AUUUUGUUGCUUUAAAAGCAUGAUGGCAAAGAACCACUGAAUCCGGUGUUAAUUAAACGAGACGCGGCGUCAGAUUUCCGAUGAUAUUUGACCGCUUGAAAUUCUAGCGUCAAUUAAACGAGACCGCGGCGACUCCUUUUGCUGUUACGGCGACAUUUUUUUCUCGUCAUCUCUGUCCGCGUUUCUUUCACAAAGUAGUUGAUGCGAAUAUUUGGUGACGCUGACGCUAGAUACU